Molecule: non-coding RNA, 103 nt
Organism: Caenorhabditis elegans
Lineage: Eukaryota; Metazoa; Nematoda; Chromadorea; Rhabditida; Rhabditidae
Source: Ensembl
ACAAUUUUACUCAUAAAAGCUUUUUACAAAUACAAAAAUAAAUAAAAUAAAGUCGAGAAAAGAGACAAAUCAUUGAUAGAACACACGAAUUGCGAGGCGACGU